Molecule: ribosomal RNA, 391 nt
Filed under: Salmonella enterica
Lineage: Bacteria; Pseudomonadati; Pseudomonadota; Gammaproteobacteria; Enterobacterales; Enterobacteriaceae
Also listed under: 1 other name
Description: partial 16S ribosomal RNA
Rfam family: Bacterial small subunit ribosomal RNA
Source: RNAcentral
AAAUUGAAGAGUUUGAUCAUGGCUCAGAUUGAACGCUGGCGGCAGGCCUAACACAUGCAAGUCGAACGGUAACAGGAAGCAGCUUGCUGCUUCGCUGACGAGUGGCGGACGGGUGAGUAAUGUCUGGGAAACUGCCUGAUGGAGGGGGAUAACUACUGGAAACGGUGGCUAAUACCGCAUAACGUCGCAAGACCAAAGAGGGGGACCUUCGGGCCUCUUGCCAUCAGAUGUGCCCAGAUGGGAUUAGCUUGUUGGUGAGGUAACGGCUCACCAAGGCGACGAUCCCUAGCUGGUCUGAGAGGAUGACCAGCCACACUGGAACUGAGACACGGUCCAGACUCCUACGGGAGGCAGCAGUGGGGAAUAUUGCACAAUGGGCGCAAGCCUGAUG